RNAcentral lists this unclassified non-coding RNA (374 nucleotides) under uncultured Acidobacteriota bacterium. RNAcentral's name for it is "uncultured Acidobacteria bacterium contains 16S-23S intergenic spacer region". The record is from RNAcentral. Lineage: Bacteria; Pseudomonadati; Acidobacteriota.
UCCGGUUUAUCACCGGCGGUCCUUCUAGAGUGCUUCCUUACGGAGAGCAACUAGAAGCAAGGGUUGCGCUCGUUGCGGGACUUAACCCAACAUCUCACGACACGAGCUGACGACAGCCAUGCAGCACCUCUACAACUGUCUAUUGCUAGCCAUUUUCAUCUCUGAAAAUCUCAGUUGCAGUUCAAACCCAGGUAAGGUUCUUCGCGUUGCAUCGAAUUGAACCACAUGCUCCACCGCUUGUGCGGGCCCCCGUCAAUUCCUUUGAGUUUCAGACUUGCGACCGUACUCCCCAGGCGGUGCACUUAUCGCGUUAACUUCGGCACAAACCGAAAACCGGCUUACACCAAGUGCACAUUGUUUACGGCUAGGACUAC